AAGAGCCGUAUGAAUCGAGAGGUUCACGUACGGUUCUGUGAGCACCUGAGGGGGAAGUUCCUUCGGGUGACUCGAC
This 76-nucleotide non-coding RNA is filed under the name Nitrosomonas nitrosa. The record is from RNAcentral. Lineage: Bacteria; Pseudomonadati; Pseudomonadota; Betaproteobacteria; Nitrosomonadales; Nitrosomonadaceae.